CCCUACAUAGUGGGGGAGUAACAGUCGGAAACGACUGCUAAUACCGCAUAGGACAUAGGAUCACAUGAUCCAGUGAGGAAAGGUGGCGCAAGCUAUCGCUAAGAGAUGGACCCGCGGUGCAUUAGCUAGUUGGUAGGGUAAAGGCCUACCAAGGCGAUGAUGCAUAGCCGACCUGAGAGGGUGAUCGGCCACAUUGGGACUGAGACACGGCCCAA
This 215-nucleotide ribosomal RNA is filed under the name uncultured bacterium. RNAcentral describes it as "partial 16S ribosomal RNA". It matches the Rfam family "Bacterial small subunit ribosomal RNA", at positions 127 to 334 of the family's 1533-position model. The record is from RNAcentral.